GCCUCGAGCCGCCACGCCCUGGGGUCUUGGGCCUUGUUGGCGGCAAUUCCUGGCCCCUGUGUGCGCGGGAGGAGGAGUCUGGUGGGGACGUGGGCAACACUGAGGGACGCCGGUGCGCGUGGCGAGCCCAGGCCGCAGCCGCAGGUUGUUCACCCUCUCCUGCCCUAGGGCGCAAGCCCUGCCUUUUGGUCGCCGGGUGCCGCUCCAGCUACCAGGGAGGGGGUUUGUCUCUGCGACCGGAAAAGACCCGGACGGUGCUAAUGGUAUUGUAUUUCACAGCAAAUCUGAAUGUUUAAUUAAAGAAUGGAAUACAGAAAACCACAAAAUACUUCACCUAUUGAUUUAAUCUCAUCUGAAAUUCUACAGGUGUGUCUUCUACCUCAGCAUAUCAAGGCAACAGGCUUCYCUUUCCUUGAGGCUUGAAUGAAAGACAUUCUUCCAUACAUCUCAGAAUACACCCGAGAGUGAUACUGCUGCAGCCAGCGGGAAUUUCAAGGGCAAAAUUGGGAAAUGGCAAUGGAGUAAAGUGUUUUUCAGGGUCUCCAGAAGAUUAUGUAAUACAUAGCAAAGUGAGAACYUCUGGGUUCAAGAAGAGUGAAAAAGAAAAGCAGUGGCCAGAUGUCAUUGGCUUUGCUUGUUUCUAAUGUAAUCAGAGGUCAUCAA
Molecule: non-coding RNA, 663 nt
Organism: Urocitellus parryii (Arctic ground squirrel)
Lineage: Eukaryota; Metazoa; Chordata; Mammalia; Rodentia; Sciuridae
Source: RefSeq, a predicted model, not a curated record